RNAcentral lists this ribosomal RNA (499 nucleotides) under uncultured bacterium. Its description in RNAcentral is "partial 16S ribosomal RNA". It matches the Rfam family "Bacterial small subunit ribosomal RNA", at positions 28 to 507 of the family's 1533-position model. The record is from RNAcentral.
GACGAACGCUGGCGGCGUGCUUAACACAUGCAAGUCGAACGGGCCCGCUCUCUUUUUUGAGGGUGGGUUGAGUGGCGAACGGGUGAGUAUCACGUGAGUAACCUGCCCCCUGCUCCUGGAUAACUGCUUGAAAGGGCGGCUAAUACGGGGUGUGCCGGCUGGUCCGCAUGGGCCUGGUCGGGAUAGUUUCAUCUUCGGGUGUUUCGGUGGGGGAUGGGCUCGCGGCCUAUCAGCUUGUUGGUGGGGUGAUGGCCCACCAAGGCGGUGACGGGUAGCCGGCCUGAGAGGGUGGGCGGCCACACUGGGACUGAGACACGGCCCAGACUCCUGCGGGAGGCAGCAGUGGGGGGUAUUGCACAAUGGGCGGAAGCCUGAUGCAGCGACGUCGCGUGAGGGAUGGAGGCCUUCGGGUUGUGAACCUCUUUCUCCGGUGGUGAAGGCCCUGUCCGUUGCGGCGGGGUUGACGGUAGCCGGGUAUGAAGCGCCGGCUAACUACGUG